CAAUUGAUUCGUGGAUCUGAAGAUAUUCCAGAAUCAGAUAUAGCUCAAGCAUGCAGAAGGCUGUUAGAUGAGAGGCAGAGUAUGAAUGUUUGGCGCUUUCUUCAAGCCAUUGAUGGGAGACCUGAUAUCACACACGGAUUGAAGACACUGAAAUGUCGAACCCUCAUAUUUGUCGGGGAUGAUUCUCCUUUCCAUUCGGAGGCUCUCCACAUGACUGCUAAAUUAGAUCGAAGAUUCAGUGCCCUAGUUGAGGUACGUCAUCAAUUUUAUGUUUAACGACACACCAUUUCAAUUUAUUGUGAAGUGCUAUGAAUUCCUUGUGUAGUUAAAUAUUUAUUCAUAUUUAGCUAUCUUGGCUAUUACUGUUUAAAUAUCAAAUAACCAACCAACUGUGCCUCUCCGAAAUCAGUUGGGUCAGAUAUAUUACUCUAUAUCUAUUCCACUUUAUUUAGUCCAUUUCAUUCUAAUACAACAUUUGCCUGUUAAAAGUCUCACUCAUGUCUAC
This is a long non-coding RNA of Lycium ferocissimum, 505 nucleotides long. RefSeq lists it as uncharacterized. The transcript is spliced from 3 exons. The record is from RefSeq and is a predicted model, not a curated record. Lineage: Eukaryota; Viridiplantae; Streptophyta; Magnoliopsida; Solanales; Solanaceae.